GACGAACGCUGGCGGCGUGCUUAACACAUGCAAGUCGAACGGAAAGGCCCUGCUUUUGUGGGGUGCUCGAGUGGCGAACGGGUGAGUAACACGUGAGUAACCUGCCCUUGACUUUGGGAUAACUUCAGGAAACUGGGGCUCAUACCGGAUAGGAGCUCCUGCUGCAUGGUGGGGUUUGGAAAGUUUCGGCGGUUGGGGAUGGACUCGCGGCUUAUCAGCUUGUUGGUGGGGUAGUGGCUUACCAAGGCUUUGACGGGUAGCCGGCCUGAGAGGGUGACCGGCCACAUUGGGACGGAGAUACGGCCCAGACUCCUACGGGAGGCAGCAGUGGGGAAUAUUGCACAAGGGGCGGAAGCCUGAUGCAGCAACGCAGCGUGCGGGAUGACGGCCUUCGGGUUGUAAACCGCUUUCGCCUGUGACGAAGCGUGAGUGACGGUAAUGGGUAAAGAAGCAACGGCUAACUACGUG
RNAcentral lists this ribosomal RNA (468 nucleotides) under uncultured bacterium. Its description in RNAcentral is "partial 16S ribosomal RNA". It matches the Rfam family "Bacterial small subunit ribosomal RNA", at positions 28 to 507 of the family's 1533-position model. The record is from RNAcentral.